AAUUAGUCCUCUCUAAUGUAAAACAAUGAUCUUAUCAAAUUGUUUUGCCUCGCUUGUGGACAAAAUUAAUGAAAGGUUUUAUUAUCCUAGCUCUCUAAAGUAAUCAAGGAUUUUUAUUGUGCUUGAGAAACGUAAAACCACAUUG
Bactrocera neohumeralis is the source of this 145-nucleotide small nucleolar RNA. RefSeq annotates it as small nucleolar RNA psi28S-1192. The transcript has a single exon. NCBI's taxonomy places the organism in Eukaryota, Metazoa, Arthropoda, Insecta, Diptera, Tephritidae. The record is from RefSeq and is a predicted model, not a curated record.